CCCGCACAAGCAGCGGAGCGUGUGGUUUAAUUCGAUGCAACACGAAGAAUCUUACCAAGGCUUGACAUGACAGAAGUAGCUGAAGGAAACGGAUGCCAACCGUUAAGUCGGUAGCUGCCACAAGUGCUGCAUGGCUGUCGUCAGCUCGUGCCGUGAGGUGUUGGGUUAAGUCCCGCAACGAGCGCAACCCUUAUUGCCAGUUAAUUUCUCUGGCGAGACUGCCCCGCAAAACGGGGAGGAAGGUGGGGAUGACGUCAAGUCAGCCAUCGGCCCUAUGCCUUGGGCUACACACACGCUACAAUGGACUACACAAUUGGUUGCAAGAGCGCGAGCUGGAGCCAAUCCAAUAAAGUAGUUCUCAGUUCGGAUUGCAGGCUGAAACCCGCCUGCAUGAAGCUGGAGUUGCUAGUAAUCGCAGGUCAGCAUACUGCGGUGAAUACGUUCUCGGGCCUU
RNAcentral lists this ribosomal RNA (453 nucleotides) under uncultured Chloroflexota bacterium. RNAcentral describes it as "bacterial SSU rRNA". It matches the Rfam family "Bacterial small subunit ribosomal RNA", at positions 920 to 1382 of the family's 1533-position model. Lineage: Bacteria; Bacillati; Chloroflexota. The record is from RNAcentral.